RNAcentral lists this ribosomal RNA (235 nucleotides) under uncultured bacterium. RNAcentral's name for it is "partial 16S ribosomal RNA". It matches the Rfam family "Bacterial small subunit ribosomal RNA", at positions 96 to 334 of the family's 1533-position model. The record is from RNAcentral.
UGGCGGACGGGUGAGUAAUGUCUGGGAAACUGCCCGAUGGAGGGGGAUAACUAUUGGAAACGGUAGCUAAUACCGCAUAACGUCGCAAGACCAAAGAGGGGGACCUUAGGGCCUCUUGCCAUCGGAUGUGCCCAGAUGGGAUUAGCUAGUAGGUGGGGUAACGGCUCACCUAGGCGACGAUCCCUAGCUGGUCUGAGAGGAUGACCAGCCACACUGGAACUGAGACACGGUCCAG